Molecule: ribosomal RNA, 376 nt
Filed under: uncultured bacterium
Lineage: Bacteria
Description: bacterial SSU rRNA
Rfam family: Bacterial small subunit ribosomal RNA
Source: RNAcentral
UAAUACGAAGGGAGCGAGCGUUGUUCGGAAUCACUGGGCGUAAAGCGUGCGUAGGCGGUUUUAUAAGUCAGAAGUGAAAGCCUGGGGCUCAACCUCAGAAUUGCUUUUGAGACUGUAAAGCUAGAAUCCUGGAGAGGUUAGUGGAAUUCCGAGUGUAGAGGUGAAAUUCGCAGAUAUUCGGAGGAACACCAGUGGCGAAGGCGACUAACUGGACAGGCAUUGACGCUGAGGCACGAAAGCGUGGGGAUCAAACAGGAUUAGAUACCCUGGUAGUCCACGCCGUAAACGAUGUAUGCUAGCUGUCGGGAGUCUUAGGCUUUCGGCGGCGAACCUAACGGAUUAAGCAUACCGCCUGGGGAGUACGGCCGCAAGGUUA